GACGAACGCUGGCGGCGUGCUUAACACAUGCAAGUCGAACGGAAAGGCCCUGCUUUUGUGGGGUGCUCGAGUGGCGAACGGGUGAGUAACACGUGAGUAACCUGCCCUUGACUUUGGGAUAACUUCAGGAAACUGGGGCUAAUACCGGAUAGGAGCUCCUGCUGCAUGGUGGGGGUUGGAAAGUUUCGGCGGUUGGGGAUGGACUCGCGGCUUAUCAGCUUGUUGGAGGGGUAGUGGCUUACCAAGGCUUUGACGGGUAGCCGGCCGGAGAGGGUGACCGGCCACAUUGGGACUGAGAUACGGCCCAGACUCCUACGGGAGGCAGCAGUGGGGAAUAUUGCACAAUGGGCGGAAGCCUGAUGCAGCAACGCCGCGUGCGGGAUGACGGCCUUCGGGUUGUAAACCGCUUUCGCCUGUGACGAAGCGUGAGUGACGGUAAUGGGUAAAGAAGCACCGGCUAACUACGUG
This 468-nucleotide ribosomal RNA is filed under the name uncultured bacterium. RNAcentral describes it as "partial 16S ribosomal RNA". It matches the Rfam family "Bacterial small subunit ribosomal RNA", at positions 28 to 507 of the family's 1533-position model. The record is from RNAcentral.